ACAGGUUUAGAAGUGUCCAAAGGGAAGCUGCUAAAUGGCAGUAUCUCUUUAUUUCUUGUUUAUGUAUCAAUGCUGCUUGAAACCUUGAUGAAUAUCUUCCUGCUAUUAUGUUGUCUCCUUCCCUUUGGGAUCUCAGCGUUGAAGUUUAACAAUUAUUAUGCGAGCGGAAUGAUGCUUCAGAGAAAUGUUAAGAACAAGGUUUGGGGAUAUGGAACCCUGGCAAAUGAACAGUUUGUUGUUGAUUGCGUUAUCAAGAACGGAG
Molecule: long non-coding RNA, 262 nt
Organism: Eurytemora carolleeae
Lineage: Eukaryota; Metazoa; Arthropoda; Copepoda; Calanoida; Temoridae
Exons: 4
Source: RefSeq, a predicted model, not a curated record